This 767-nucleotide long non-coding RNA is filed under the name Mus pahari (shrew mouse). Its description in RNAcentral is "lncRNA (MGP_PahariEiJ_G0003183.1)". The record is from RNAcentral. Lineage: Eukaryota; Metazoa; Chordata; Mammalia; Rodentia; Muridae.
UCUGCAUACGGGGAAACCAAAUCCCAGAAAAGGCUGCCCUUGAAGGCAGAUAUUUUAUCUCUAUUUUACAGACACGGACACAAGCUAAGAGAAGCUCCAUGGUUCAGGAUGCCAAGACCUCUCCCACUGCAUGGUGAGAGUCAGCUGAGGUCAACAAGAUGGAAGCUGGCAGGCAGGCAUAGCACUAACCCAGGGAACCUGUUCUAGCUCCUGAGACAGGGAUCCUGACAUGCCACACAUAUGCAAAGCAAGCCCUGGGCCCGGCCUUGCUGAGAGCUGUGUAGACACAUCACAACUCUCAGGUGGGCCGUGCUGACUCACAGGGAAAGCACGGCACUACUGUCCCCAGCCCACCCCAGCCCACAGGAGUCACCUACUGGGCUGCUCCACAACCUUAGGGGAUUAAGCUCCCCCUGUCAACCUGUGAGGUCAUCUUGUAAGUGGAUGGACUGCGAGGGGACUCACUGCUGCAGUAGCCGGCUCCUGCGAGGCUCCUGCGAGGCUCCUGCCAGCGAGAGCUAUUCUUGGGGUGCUUCUCUGAGUUCCUUGUUCUGCUUUCUUUCGGAGGCUGAGGGAUCCCUAGAGUGAGGUAGCCCUCUUACCGGCAUUCAGCUUGUGUGGAUGGUGAUACGAAUAGGUCACUCCUUGAAGCUCGGGGCUUAUAUCUGAGACCCCUGUGGGACCUUUGGACCUAAGAAUUAGCAGAAAGGGUCUCUUCCUUUGAAUAAAAGAACUCCAUUCUCCAGAAAACAGUGAUACAGAGAAUA